UACGUAGGGUGCGAGCGUUAAUCGGAAUUACUGGGCGUAAAGCGUGCGCAGGCGGUGAUGUAAGACCGAUGUGAAAUCCCCGGGCUUAACCUGGGAACUGCAUUGGUGACUGCAUCGCUCGAGUAUGGCAGAGGGGGGUAGAAUUCCACGUGUAGCAGUGAAAUGCGUAGAUAUCGGGAGGAACACCAGUGGCGAAGGCGAUCACCUGGGGUUGUUCUGACGCUGAGGAGCGAAAGCUAGGGGAGCAAACGGG
This 253-nucleotide ribosomal RNA is filed under the name uncultured bacterium. RNAcentral describes it as "partial 16S ribosomal RNA". It matches the Rfam family "Bacterial small subunit ribosomal RNA", at positions 524 to 776 of the family's 1533-position model. The record is from RNAcentral.